This 426-nucleotide ribosomal RNA is filed under the name uncultured bacterium. Its description in RNAcentral is "partial 16S ribosomal RNA". It matches the Rfam family "Bacterial small subunit ribosomal RNA", at positions 354 to 796 of the family's 1533-position model. The record is from RNAcentral.
GUGAGGAAUUUUCCGCAAUGGGCGAAAGCCUGACGGAGCAAUGCCGCGUGAAGGAUGAAGGCCUAUGGGUUGUAAACUUCUUUUCUCAGAAAAGAAUUAUGACGGUAUCUGAGGAAUAAGCAUCGGCUAACUCUGUGCCAGCAGCCGCGGUAAGACAGAGGAUGCAAGCGUUAUCCGGAAUGAUUGGGCGUAAAGCGUCUGUAGGUUGUUUAAAAAGUAUUCUGUCAAAGAUUAGGGCUUAACCCUAGAUAGGCAGAAUAAACUUUUAAGCUUGAGUUUGGUAGAGGCAGAGGGAAUUCCCGGUGGAGCGGUGAAAUGCGUAGAUAUCGGGAGGAACACCAAAGGCGAAGGCACUCUGCUGGGCCAAUACUAACACUGAGAGACGAAAGCGAGGGGAGCAAAUGGGAUUAGAUACCCCGGUAGUCC